Scleropages formosus (Asian bonytongue) is the source of this 593-nucleotide long non-coding RNA. RefSeq lists it as uncharacterized. NCBI's taxonomy places the organism in Eukaryota, Metazoa, Chordata, Actinopteri, Osteoglossiformes, Osteoglossidae. The transcript is spliced from 3 exons. The record is from RefSeq and is a predicted model, not a curated record.
UCUGGUGCGCGAACGGUACUUGGGCAGUGUCGGGGAAGACAUAAAUAUGUUAUAAAGCGAUGUUAUGCAUUUCUUCUGGACCCUAGUAGAGAAGGAGCUCGCGCGCUCUGGCUUCCAACGGCCCGCCAACCGGCAUUUCGCGCCACUCUGGGGUCACGCGCCUCGCUGCUGGGAAAGCGCGAGCUGAAAACCGAAUCCUGUCAGCCGGGGAAAAACUGCGAAUAAAACCUCGCACAAAAGGGAAAAGAUGGGUUCUACCAGGAAGCUGAUCUUUUGCCCAGAAGUAUGGGCCUAAGGCAGUCACCUUUACAAUUCAUAUGGGAAAAGACUGACCAGGAAGAUGGUGCAUCCUGCAGUUUUACAACCUGGCACUAUGGCUUGCAGCUGCCCUCUGUGGUGGCAUGAAAAGUUUUGUUGCCAACGCAGUCCUCUGCAACUUUGUACAAGAAGCCAGGUGCCUCCCCCGUUCUGCCGUGUAAAAGGACAUAAGAAGAACAGCGAAUGUGCAAAAUCAAUACAGCUGCAACACAAAUUGGACCCCAAUGAGGACAUGUGAGUAUUUGAUAAUUAAGCAUAGCAAAUAGAUUGUUUCA